RNAcentral lists this ribosomal RNA (260 nucleotides) under uncultured bacterium. RNAcentral describes it as "partial 16S ribosomal RNA". It matches the Rfam family "Bacterial small subunit ribosomal RNA", at positions 1241 to 1500 of the family's 1533-position model. The record is from RNAcentral.
AAAGGGAAGCGAAGUGGUGACAUGGAGCGACCCCAAAAAUAAACGUCCCAGUUCGGAUUGUAGUCUGCAACCCGACUACAUGAAGCUGGAAUCGCUGGUAAUCGCGGAUCAGAAUGCCGCGGUGAAUACGUUCCCGGGUCUUGUACACACCGCCCGUCACACCAUGGGAGUCAGUAACGCCCGAAGUCAGUGACCUAACCUUAGGGAGGGAGCUGCCGAAGGCGGGACGGAUAACUGGGGUGAAGUCGUAACAAGGUAUC